RNAcentral lists this ribosomal RNA (427 nucleotides) under uncultured bacterium. Its description in RNAcentral is "partial 16S ribosomal RNA". It matches the Rfam family "Bacterial small subunit ribosomal RNA", at positions 355 to 774 of the family's 1533-position model. The record is from RNAcentral.
UGGGGAAUAUUGCACAAUGGGCGCAAGCCUGAUGCAGCCAUGCCGCGUGUAUGAAGAAGGCCUUCGGGUUGUAAAGUACUUUCAGCGGGGAGGAAGGUGUUGUGGUUAAUAACCGCAGCAAUUGACGUUACCCGCAGAAGAAGCACCGGCUAACUCCGUGCCAGCAGCCGCGGUAAUACGGAGGGUGCAAGCGUUAAUCGGAAUUACUGGGCGUAAAGCGCACGCAGGCGGUCUGUCAAGUCGGAUGUGAAAUCCCCGGGCUCAACCUGGGAACUUCAUUCGAAACUGGCAGGCUAGAGUCUUGUAGAGGGGGGUAGAAUUCCAGGUGUAGCGGUGAAAUGCGUAGAGAUCUGGAGGAAUACCGGUGGCGAAGGCGGCCCCCUGGACAAAGACUGACGCUCAGGUGCGAAAGCGUGGGGAGCAAACA